Molecule: non-coding RNA, 23 nt
Filed under: Gallus gallus (chicken)
Lineage: Eukaryota; Metazoa; Chordata; Aves; Galliformes; Phasianidae
Also listed under: 1 other name
Source: RNAcentral
GCGAGAGGUAGCGGGAUCGAUGC